RNAcentral lists this transfer RNA (73 nucleotides) under Bos taurus (domestic cattle). It matches the Rfam family "tRNA". Rfam says of the family: Transfer RNA (tRNA) molecules are approximately 80 nucleotides in length. Their secondary structure includes four short double-helical elements and three loops (D, anti-codon, and T loops). The record is from Rfam by way of RNAcentral. Lineage: Eukaryota; Metazoa; Chordata; Mammalia; Artiodactyla; Bovidae. RNAcentral also lists the same sequence under 2 other names.
UCUCUGACAGUCCAGUGGUUGGGACUCAGUGCUUUGACUGCUGUGGGCCUGGGUUCAAUCCCUAGUCAGGGAA